GCUGGGCGUGGUGGCACAUGCCUGUAAUCCCAGCUACUCGGGAGGCUGAGGCAGGAGAAUCGCUUGAACCCAGGAGGCAGAGGUUGCAGUGAGCCAAGAUCGCACCACUGCACUCCACCCUGGGUGAUAGAGUGAGACUCUGUCUCAA
Unclassified non-coding RNA from Pongo abelii (Sumatran orangutan), 148 nucleotides. It matches the Rfam family "Metazoan signal recognition particle RNA". From Rfam's summary of the family: The signal recognition particle (SRP) is a universally conserved ribonucleoprotein. NCBI's taxonomy places the organism in Eukaryota, Metazoa, Chordata, Mammalia, Primates, Hominidae. The record is from Ensembl.